UACAUGUGAUUAAAAUUGUGCCGACAUCCCAUACUUUAGUAGUCAAAUCCCACUGCUGAUAGAACAUCUCUUUUAGAUUCCAAUUGCAAACUGGAUGAAGUUUUUGAAAUCUGAAAUCUGAAAACCCAACAACCUUGUUUCCAUUUUCUUCUUUCUUCUUUUUCCCUUAUUUUUAUCAUUAUUAUUUCAAAAUAUAAUCUGCAAUUUAAUCCCCAAAUUCCAUAUUAUG
Molecule: long non-coding RNA, 229 nt
Filed under: Elaeis guineensis (African oil palm)
Lineage: Eukaryota; Viridiplantae; Streptophyta; Magnoliopsida; Arecales; Arecaceae
Description: long non-coding RNA (EGUI_LNC024716)
Source: RNAcentral